This is a long non-coding RNA of Herpailurus yagouaroundi (jaguarundi), 926 nucleotides long. RefSeq lists it as uncharacterized. Lineage: Eukaryota; Metazoa; Chordata; Mammalia; Carnivora; Felidae. The record is from RefSeq and is a predicted model, not a curated record. The transcript is spliced from 5 exons.
GCUGGGUAGGGCCCCAGGGGGAGGCAGGUUUCUGCAGCUCCCUUUUCCCAGUGGAAAAGCUCAGGAUUCCCAAAGGCUGUUGGGCGAGAGUCUCAAAUUGUCUUCAGACUGGGUCUAAUCUAGCUAGAACCACUUGGGAGCCAGGAUGUAUCCAGUGACAGGCGUCGCUGAGAAGUGAAGAGAGGUCUGGUGACAACUGGGAUCUCCAGUUGACCCAGUCUCAAGGGGCGGUGAGACUAGGUACCUGAUCCUUCUCGUCCAUUGAUUUGCUGUUACUCAGCUCCAAAUGCAGAAGUUCAGAGGACAAGCUGCUCCCAGGAGGUCACAAACAGCCUCAACAGUUCAAGAAGGCUGUCUCGACAGACACAAGGAGAAGGCUCAGUACGUGGGAGACAGGCCGUCUGGGCAGGGACCAAAGAGCUGCACAUUCUCAGGGCAAGUCCCUUCUUCAAGGCCAGAGGUCCCCUGUUGACGUCACACCCAUGGAGGGAGAAGAAACACCAAGAAAGGGUGAGGCGGUGACGUCGCCCUGUGUUCUCGCAGGGCUGAGGAGGUCUGUGCUCUACAUUCUUCCGUGUUGGCUCAAGCCAGAGCCCCUGUGAUGCAAACCAGGACGAGGUCCGAGGGCCCUCCCUCAAGGCGCACACCGUGUGAGAAAGGGACCCGCAGCUCAGGAACCAAAACAGACACACCCAGCCCAGUGACCUCCCCACCAGCCAGUGACCAACAGCAGCCAGUCAACAGCUCUCAUCAAGAGGUUCCUCUGUACAUGACACCAUGGGGGAUCCAAUUUCCUGCAGACCAUGGCUUGGGGUUUACGUAAGUCUAAUUAGGGAAGUGAGAGGCACAUAUAUGAGAAAAAGAGUGGAUAGACUAUGGCCAAGGUAGGCUUGGGAGGAAGUGGAUAUUCAGCAUGGCAGUGCUGG